CUGGAUCACAACUUAUUGGGCCUAGAAUGAUCAAAGAAAGGCCCAUUAAGCCAACACUUUGAGGACUAUAAAAGGGGGAGGUUUAGAUGUGAUGGGACAGAUCCCAGAGAGUGAAAAACAUGGUAUUAUUCAGUUACUUUGUAAAGUGCUCUUGAGACUCCACCUAGGACGUUUUACUGAGCAGCUCACCUGUUGUAAUUAACUUGUGUUUACAUACGUGAACA
Molecule: long non-coding RNA, 224 nt
Filed under: Medicago truncatula (barrel medic)
Lineage: Eukaryota; Viridiplantae; Streptophyta; Magnoliopsida; Fabales; Fabaceae
Description: long non-coding RNA (MTRU_LNC005056)
Source: RNAcentral